Molecule: ribosomal RNA, 617 nt
Filed under: uncultured fungus
Lineage: Eukaryota; Fungi
Description: eukaryotic LSU rRNA
Rfam family: Eukaryotic large subunit ribosomal RNA
Source: RNAcentral
GCAUAUCAAUAAGCGGAGGAAAAGAAACCAACAGGGAUUGCCUCAGCUAACGGCGAGUGAAGCGGCAAAAGCUCAAAUUUGAAAUCUAGCACCUUCGGUGUUCGAGUUGUAAUUUGAAGAUGGUAACCUUGGGUUUGGCUCUUGUCUAUGUUCCUUGGAACAGGACGUCAUAAAGGGUGAGAAUCCCGUCUGAUGAGAUGCCCAUUCCUAUGUAAGGUGCUAUCGAAGAGUCGAGUUGUUUGGGAAUGCAGCUCUAAGUGGGUGGUAAAUUCCAUCUAAAGCUAAAUAUUGGCGAGAGACCGAUAGCGAACAAGUACAGUGAUGGAAAGAUGAAAAGAACUUUGAAAAGAGAGUGAAAAAGUACGUGAAAUUGUUGAAAGGGAAGGGCAUUAGAUCAGACUUGGUGUUUUACGAUUAUCUUCUCUUCUUGAGUUGUGCACUCGUAUUUCACUGGGCCAGCAUCGAUUCGGAUGGCAAGAUAAUGGCACUUGAAUGUGGCUUCACUUCGGUGGAGUGUUAUAGCUUCUGCUGAUAUUGCCUGUCUGGAUCGAGGGCUGCGUCUUUUGACUAGGAUGCUGGCGUAAUGAUCUAAUGCCGCCCGUCUUGAAACACGGACC